Molecule: ribosomal RNA, 468 nt
Filed under: uncultured bacterium
Lineage: Bacteria
Description: partial 16S ribosomal RNA
Rfam family: Bacterial small subunit ribosomal RNA
Source: RNAcentral
GACGAACGCUGGCGGCGUGCUUAACACAUGCAAGUCGAACGGAAAGGCCCUGCUUUUGUGGGGUGCUCGAGUGGCGAACGGGUGAGUAACACGUGAGUAACCUGCCCUUGACUUUGGGAUAACUUCAGGAAACUGGGGCUAAUACCGGAUAGGAGCUCCUGCUGCAUGGUGGGGGUUGGAAAGUUUCGGCGGUUGGGGAUGGACUCGCGGCUUAUCAGCUUGUUGGUGGGGUAGUGGCUUACCAAGGCUUUGACGGGUAGCCGGCCUGAGAGGGUGACCGGCCAAAUGGGGACUGAGAAACGGCCCAGACUCCUACGGGAGGCAGCAGUGGGGAAUAUUGCACAAUGGGCGGAAGCCUGAUGCAGCAACGCCGCGUGCGGGAUGACGGCCUUCGGGUUGUAAACCGCUUUCGCCUGUGACGAAGCGUGAGUGACGGUAAUGGGUAAAGAAGCACCGGCUAACUACGUG